UUCUCUAUAUAGGUGUGGCCAGCCUCUACCUCUUUCUCGCUCUGACUCCAGGGUUGAGUUAAGGCUUUCUCUAUAUAGGUGUGGCCAGCCUCUACCUCUUUCUCGCUCUGACUCCAGGGUUGAGUUAAGGCUUUCUCUAUAUAGGUGUGGCCAGCCUCUACCUCUUUCUCGCUCUGACUCCAGGGUUGAGUUAAGGCUUUCUCUAUAUAGGUGUGGCCAGCCUCUACCUCUUUCUCGCUCUGACUCCAGGGUUGAGUUAAGGCUUUCUCUAUAUAGGUGUGGCCAGCCUCUACCUCUUUCUCGCUCUGACUCCAGGGUUGAGUUAAGGCUUUCUCUAUAUAGGUGUGGCCAGCCUCUACC
Long non-coding RNA from Oncorhynchus keta (chum salmon), 360 nucleotides. RefSeq lists it as uncharacterized. The record is from RefSeq and is a predicted model, not a curated record. Lineage: Eukaryota; Metazoa; Chordata; Actinopteri; Salmoniformes; Salmonidae. The transcript has 3 exons.